RNAcentral lists this ribosomal RNA (441 nucleotides) under uncultured bacterium. RNAcentral describes it as "partial 16S ribosomal RNA". It matches the Rfam family "Bacterial small subunit ribosomal RNA", at positions 338 to 795 of the family's 1533-position model. The record is from RNAcentral.
CCUACGGGAGGCAGCAGUGGGGAAUAUUGCACAAUGGGGGAAACCCUGAUGCAGCGACGCCGCGUGAGUGAAGAAGUAUUUCGGUAUGUAAAGCUCUAUCAGCAGGAACGAGACAAGACGGUACCUGACUAAGAAGCGCCGGCGAACUACGUGCCAGCAGCCGCGGUAAUACGUAGGGGGCAAGCGUUAUCCGGAAUCACUGGGUGUAAAGGGAGCGUAGACGGCUGUGCAAGCCUGAAGUGAAAGGCGGGGGCCCAACCCCUGGACUGCUUUGGGAACUGUACGGCUGGAGUGCAGGAGGGGUAAGUGGAAUUCCUGGUGUAGCAGUGAAAUGCGUAGAUAUUGGGAGGAACACCAGUGGCGAAGGCGGCUUACUGGACUGUAACUGACGUUGAGGCUCGAAGGCGUGGGGAGCGAACGGGAUUAGAUACCCCUGUAGUC